This 6191-nucleotide long non-coding RNA is filed under the name Sus scrofa (pig). RNAcentral describes it as "lncRNA (ENSSSCG00015060015.1)". Lineage: Eukaryota; Metazoa; Chordata; Mammalia; Artiodactyla; Suidae. The record is from RNAcentral.
UUUUUUGUUUUUUUUGUCUUUUUUAGGGCCGCACCUGCAGCAUAUGGAGGUUCCCAGGCUAGGGGUCGAAUCAGAGCUGUAGCCGCCAGCCUACAUCAGAGCCACAGCAACGCGGAAUCCGAGCCGUGUCUGUGACUUAUACCACAGCUCACGGCAACGCCGGAUCCUUAACCCACUGAGCAAAGCCAGGGAUCGAACCUGCAACCUCAUGGUUCCUAGUCAGGUUCAUUUCCGCUGCGCCAUGAUGGGAACUCCAUUUCUUUUUUCUUUCCUUUUCUUUUCUCUUUUCCUUUCCUUUCCUCCCCUCUCCCCCUUCUUUGCCCUUCUUUCCUUUCCUCUCCUCUCCUGUCCUUGCCUUUCCUUUCUUCUGUUCUUAGAACAACAUCUCGACGGCAUGUUGACGUCAUGGUAGACAUUGCAGUUUGGCUCUUCAAACAUCCAUUCGCAGGCACCUUCUCCCCGACCUUCCUCUCCUGAGACUGGAAAGCAAAUCAUUUCAUUUCCCAGCAUCCUUUGCAUCCAGGCUGGGCCCGUGACCCAGUUUGGGGCAAAGAGUUAGAAGGAGAAAUCAGCAAAGAGAGGCUUGGGAAAGGUCUUGAUUUCUGUUAAAAAGGGACACAUGCAGCUGGCAUUCCCCCGUUUCCUGUCUGCUUUUAUUCAUUAUUAAAUGUGGCGUUUGAUUGAAAGGACAGCACACAUGGUGUAGUCUUGAGCCAAGAGACUCACAGGGCUGUUGACCCCAGCAUUGUGGACCCACUGGUCCAACCUCAGCCACCACCUACCUGUGUCAUGUCAGGAAAACUGGCCUCUAUUUUUUUUAGCUGCAGUGAAUCCAGUUUUCUGCUAUUUGCAGGUGACAUCAUUCCAGAACAAUGCCACUCCAAAUCUUCUAAAGUUAAGACCUAGGAAGCUGCUUGAGGGGCAACCUGAGGAAACUUAACUUUUGGCGAUGAGACAGAAGUGGACAGAAGUUGAGGUCAAAUCUUAUAGAGUGGUGAUAGUAAAAUCCUGAGUCUGAUAGAAGGCACUAGAUUGUGAAAUGAGGUAGAAAUACCUAUAUUUGCCAGACGUUUCUCCCAAACAGUCACAGUCACCGAGUGCUGCUAAUAAAAAGUGUAAGUUGGCGUUUUGCAAACUGUAAUCAGAUUAAAAGGGAAACCCCAGAGAUAUGGAAGAAACCUGAGAGUCCACAAAUAGAAUUCAUGCAUUGGAAAGGACCCUGCAUCGUUGCCGCAGAGUCCACCUAGAUUUUCGGGCCUGAUAGAGAGAAUUCACAGGGCUCGUCAUCAGUCACUUAAAGCAAGAAGGACGUGUAUGUAUUCCUGCCCGCGUCAGCCAUUCUCUUUGCUGUUUGACUCGGCCUUUGCGAAUGAUUCAGCAGAGUCUCUGAAAACCCUUCUAACUAGGAAGCCCAGGAUAAGGAAUGUCUCAUGUCUCACAUUUGUAUCCAUGCUGUUAAUUCUCUGCUGGUACAUGGUGGCUCUUUUAUCAGUUUGCAAGGGCCUCCUUCCUUUUUGGAUAGAAAAUUCUUGCCUUUGGUCCGGAGAAAGAUUGAGUUUCUUCACUGGGACUAUGACGUGAAUUUACCUGGCAACUUGUUUCUCCACAUCAUUCAGGUCUGUUCCUUCCUUCACUUAUUCAGCCUGAUGGUAGACCUUUCAGGGCCGUGUUUCUUGAGCUGCUCUCUUGCGGGCAGUUAGAAGUGACUUGAUAGUUUCUGAGGAAAAAAAAAUAGCACCUAAAUCUAUGUUUUUUCACACAUUUGACAUGUAAAAAUAAUUGCGGUUAUUCACAGAAAUUCCGUUAUAUUUUUAAAGAUUAUUUUUGCUAAUGUUCACUUGACUAGAGUUUUUUUUUUUAACUUCCUUUGGGUAUGACUGUUUACAUUUACUGAAAUUCUCCUUUUCCAUCCUUAUUAUGGGCUUUAUAUCAGCAGUUCUCAUAAAGAGAUCCGAGGUUCAAAAGUGAUUUGCUGAGCAUAAAGUUAGUGAUGAAAAUAGGUAUGCUGGAGUUCCCAUCCUGGCUCAGUGGCUAAUGAACCCAGCUGGUACCCAUGAAGAUGCGGGUUUGACCCCUGUCCUCGCUCACGUGGGUUAAGGAUCCGGUGCUGCCGUGAGCUGUGGUGUGGGUCGCAGACGAGGCUCGGAUUCUGUGUUGCUGUGGCUGUGGUGUAGGCCAGCAGCUGUAGCUCCAAUUCGACUCCUAGUCUGGGAACCUCCAUAUGCCCCUGGUGUGGCCCUAAAAAGACAAAAAGAAAAAAAAAGAAAGAAAGAAAGAAAGAAAAUAGGUAUGUAGUUACUGCCACUCAAAAUAACGUUAUCAGCAAGGACUAGGACUCAAUGCGUAUGUGAAUAUGUGUGCGUUGGGACGAAGUGUGAACAUGAGCUAAUGUGAUGUGUUUUUGACAGCCUCUGUCCUAUCUGUGUGCACAGGAAGAAUCAAAAUGAAUAUGUGAGAGUACAUUUUACUCUAAGCGAAUUACAUCUGCAGACGCCUGACUUUCAAGAUGAAUGCAUGAAGGCAUGAUUGACUCUGUGAGGGUUAGACUGGAUUCCUCUCUAACAUGCGGUGCAUUAUCUAUUUGGAAAAUUUGUAGAGUCGGAACAUAAAUUCAACCACAUUCUCAUUCCAUUUUUAAACAAAUCCUAGUGGUAUAACUCUUAAGCACUUGAGUUUCUCCAGAACAAGAGCAAAAUAAUGCUUUCCAAGACAAAACUGGUGAAUUAGUUAAAGCAGUGAAGAGACCAAAGCUCUUGAAGUAUCAUCCAAAUUCAUACUCCUUGAAGCAAAACAUCUUAAUGACACUGUGGCCAAGACCAUUAGAAGACUGGCCUUAAGUUAAAAAAUACGCCCGGGCAGAAAUCAGAAUGAGGCUUUGGCAAGAAUCCCUCAUCCAGCGACACUUUGGAUUUCUCACUCGUGGUCCUGCCCCACGGAGGGAAGUUGCUGUUGCUUUUUCGUUGAAGGGCUCUUGAUACCCCGAGUAUGAGUCAGCUCUGAGCCUUUUGCAGGACACACAUGGGGGGAAGGUGCAGUGUUCUAUUUAAUCGCGUAAGUCCCCGCCGUGGGGGAAGACGUCUUCCAUGCAGCUAAGGGUGAUUUUGUGAUUCACAUGCCGGCUGCCACCGGUGGCUGGAAUCAGGAAUGAUGGCUCUGCUCUGCAGAGACGAGAGCUCGCCCCCAGGGCUGGUUCAUACGCUGCUUGAAUCAAAGGGAACCGACGCAAAGCAGUCCCAGGAGCAGGACGGACAGGGCUCCGGGAAGGCAGUGGCAGGCUUACCUGCCAAGGUUGUGUGGCAACGUAGCCCUGGUGCCGUACCACCCGUUCCUGAGUCAGAGCUGAAGGAAAUGGAGACAACUCCAAGUCCUAGCAAACCACAGCUAAUGAGUAUAUGUCUUUUCUGUUUUUUUUGUUAAUUAGCAGAGCAGUUCGCAUUCUGCUUUUUGGCACUAGAAUAUGCUGGCUCUGGACGGGGAAAUGCGCUUUCCCACUUUUUUUUUCAAAUAAAGGAUGAGGAAAAAAACCCACAUUUUUCCAUGACACUAAAAUACCCUUUUAAAAAUAUCGUUUCAAGUGGCUGGCUCAAGUGGACUCUCUCAACAACAGAAAUUCCAUGUUGGUUCCCAAAUGCCAUGAAUUUUAAUGUCAAGGAUUAGAUAAAAUAUCAGGAUUUCUUGAGGAAACCAAGCCAGUGCAGACACUUGCAUUGCUGGGGGUUUAAUUCAUUCUCAGUGCUUGAUAAUUUUCUUCACUUACGGACAAUAAUCAUUGAUGAUAUAUUACUGAUCAUGUUUUAAGACCACAUCCAAAUGUUCCAACAUACCAUGAAGAAAUACUUGGGAGAGGAGAAAGCAACAAAAUGGGUGUGUGAGGAAUUCACCGACCAAUAAAGCUCUCCCAAGUUGAAAAAGACAGUUUUCAACUUUUGGAUAUGAUGACCUUAUUAAUUAGAUCUCCAAAGAUGACUCAGUGCUUGCUGCCAGCCCCAACCACUUCUGCUGUGCUCAAACCAAAGUGUAAACUAAUAUAUGAAUAAACACACAUAUGUUCUUUUCCUGCUCAUGCUUUUUAUUAACAAAGGGAUGCCAUUUUACUAUGUAUUUUACUUUGCGACUUGCUUUUCAUUAUUCAAAAAAUAUACCAUGGGCUAAUAAUCUCCAAGUCAAUGAUACAAACAUUUAUUUAGAAUGUUCUAAUUUUGUAAGUAAAAUAAUAAAAAGAAACCAACUGAGUGUGAAACUUAGCACAGAUGAAGAAACAGUGCCAAUGAAUCCCCUGUUAAUAGGACAAAAGCUUGAUUUUGCAAUUUUAUGUAAGAGCUGAUCAUUUAAAAAUGGAGACAUAUUUUUAAGCAUUUAUUGCAGUGUAAUUGACAUACAACAAACUGCAAAUAUUUCUUUCUUUCUGUCUUUUUUGCCUUUUCUAGGGUCGCACCGGUGGCAUAUGGAGGUUCCCAGGUUAGGGGUCGAAUGGGAGCUGUAGCUGCCAGCCUACACCACAGCCACAGCAACGUGGGAUCUGAGCCACGUCUGCAACCUACACCACAGCCCAUGGCAACGCCAGAUCCUUAACCCACUGAGUGAGGCCAGGGAUUGAACCCGCAACCUCAUGGUUCCUAGUCGGAUUUGUUAACUACUGCGCUACGACAGGAACUCCUAAACAAAUAUUUCAACUGUCAAGUGUGAGUUUGGACUUAUGGAUAUAUGUGUGAAACCAACACCACAAUCAAGAUAAAGAACAUCUCUCUCACUGCCGGAAGCUCUCUUGUGCACCUGUGUGAUCUCUCCCUCCAGCCCCACCUGGGCUCAGGCUGCAGCUGAGGUUCAAGUCUGCUCAUUCUGAGACCAGUGGCCACGUAAGGUGCCCUCCUCUUCUAGCGAUGCCAGAGCACAGGACGCCAAGCCACAUCACGCAAGCUCCGUGAAAACUUCUCGUUGAUGACCCCUGAUACUGCAGUGGCCAAAUCAAGUCACAUGGCAGAGCCUAACUUCAAAGUAGCGGAGAAAUGCCCUCUGUUCACUCGAGGGGAACGUCCUGCAGAGUCGCCUGGCAAAGGAGGUGGCUCUCUUAUGCUUUAACUGAGAGGAAGUAAAAGAUGGAGAAGAAUAACACCGUAACCGCAAACGGGCAGCUGAAAAUAUGGAACUGGUGUUGGAAAGUCGGGAAUUCAUAUUUGGUAGUUGAAGCCUCCCUGUGUUUGACAGUGUACAGAAGGGAAUGACAAGAUGGCACUGGGACUUUAGGCUGUGCCACAUCUAGGGCAAGAGUGCACGAUAGGGAGAUAAGAAGAGCCAGCUGGAGGCUGGAGGAGCACCCAAGGUGCAAGAGAACGUGUCAUCAGCGUCCUCUUUCAAACAGAACAAGAGGUCCUGGAGAAAUGUGAAUGGUUCUACCUGUAAGCAUUUUACUAAUUCCCUCCACUGUCCACAUUCUAGUUUCCUUCUCCUUUAUUUUCCCUUCUCCUUGGCGUCUAGAUAAGGGAACCAAACUAUAUGCGGAAGUCUCUGAUCUCAUUUUUUUAAAAAAAAUAACUAGAUUCCUAUUACAACCAAAACCAGGAUCGUGAAGGGAUCAAAUUUCUGUUUUCUUUUAAGCCUUCAGAACAUACACAGUGAGAGCUUAUUUACUGUUCCACAAAACCUUCCGUGUACACGUGUAUACAUGUAUGUCGCAAUGGAAUACAUGUUUGCUAUGAAGGGUCUGAAGUAUCACAUAUAAAAGCAUCAUAUGGCCGGUCUUCUGGAAGAAUGGCCACUCCCUCAUUUUCUGUGACUCAUCACUCCAUGAGCACUGGGAGGACCUGACCACAGCUGUACAGAAACUUCCAUAAUAAAACCAUAAUGGGCACUGCACAAAUUGCCUUUUUUAGAUUUGGGGUUUCAUUGCAAUUGCGAAUGUUGGACGGAUUUCCUUGAGGCUUGGCCUGAGGACCAUCUAGCCGCUCUUUGCCCAAUCCUGAGUCGGGAAUAUGCUUUUAGGUGGAAACUAUGCCCUAAAUUCUGUGCUAGGUGUGGGGGUGGUGUUUUCGUUGUUAUGUAUAGCAGAUUCUAUAGAAACUUAAAAAAGUAAUUAUUUGCGAAAAGAGCUGUGUUUCCUUCUUGGCCGUGUAUUGAGAAGGGACAGUGAUGGUUCAUUUAAAACUUUCUGAUGUGGUAUUUCAGUGGCUAAUCUGUGGACCUCUCGUUGGCCC